CAGCAGCCGCGGGAAUACGGAGGGGGCUAGCGUUGUUCGGAAUUACUGGGCGUAAAGCGCACGCAGGCGGUCUGUCAAGUCGGAUGUGAAAUCCCCGGGCUCAACCUGGGAACUGCAUUCGAAACUGGCAGGCUAGAGUCUUGUAGAGGGGGGUAGAAUUCCAGGUGUAGCGGUGAAAUGCGUAGAGAUCUGGAGGAAUACCGGUGGCGAAGGCGGCCCCCUGGACAAAGACUGACGCUCAGGUGCGAAAGCGUGGGGAGCAAACAGGAUUAGAUACCCCUGUAGUCCCUGUCUCUUAUAC
Molecule: ribosomal RNA, 301 nt
Filed under: uncultured bacterium
Lineage: Bacteria
Description: partial 16S ribosomal RNA
Rfam family: Bacterial small subunit ribosomal RNA
Source: RNAcentral